CGCCCUCUGCUGUCCACUCCGAAGAACCCAGAUCUGGAGCAUCCGGCCCAGGAACACAGCAGUUAGUUUGAUGCAGGGUUAUCAUAGUAGAGGAGAAAAAACAAAAGGAAUCCUGAGCAGGGAGGUGAUGGAAAGGGCAGGUCACACACACCGACAGACGGAAAUAUCACGUCUGGCCCCCGGCUCCUCUUCCUCCUCUUCCUCCUCUUCCUCCUCACAGCUUAGAGCGACUUUGUGACGAAUCAGGGGAACAAGAUCAAUCGACUGUGGGGAGAUCUUCACCAUGUGACUCCCUUUGAGGGGAGGAAACACUCCAAGGAGACUCAUAUGAAGUCAUCGACUGAGGCCAAUUGUGUCUGAAUGAUGCGUGUCCAUUAAAACGCAGCUGAAAGAGCUUCCUGUCCACACAAAGCCUGGGACUGACCCGGGCGGUGGCACCAAAUCCUCCAGCUUCAAAUAGAAAAUCCUCUGCAGGCCUUGGAUGCACAGAGUGCGGAGUUCUCGCAGUUUUU
This is a long non-coding RNA of Trematomus bernacchii (emerald rockcod), 512 nucleotides long. RefSeq lists it as uncharacterized. The record is from RefSeq and is a predicted model, not a curated record. NCBI's taxonomy places the organism in Eukaryota, Metazoa, Chordata, Actinopteri, Perciformes, Nototheniidae. The transcript has 4 exons.